UUAAGAGAGAGAGAGGAUAAACAUCAAAAUAGCUUCUCAUUGGAAAGACUGUGGAAUAAUCUAAUACGUGAAGACACGGAAGUCCGAAACAAAUGUAGUAUAAAUUCCUUCCCAGAGUCUUUGCAGAUACAAGCAUCGGCCACAAUUAACUUCAGAAGCUGAAUAUUUCUAAGCAACUGGUAUCAGCUUCCAGAAGAAGCUGGGGGCAGGGGGAGAGGCAGGUUAAAAGGGAUAGUUUCCAGAUAAUUCGGUGUUAACACUCAUUCAAAAGCAUGUAAGGGGAGGAGACAAAAGAACACUUUUAUUUUCAGUUCGGUGUGUGAAGUGAGCACACUGGAACCCCCCAAAAGUGCAGUUCUGGCAAUCUAGACAGUAGCCUGUUCCUGGAUGGAUAGUUUUCCGGUCGAGACAGAUAGUUGGUUUAAAUCUGCCUCAGGUCUGAAGUGACUGGAAAUCAACACCAGAUAAUGGCUGUUUGGUAGAUGAUGUGACAUGGGUUAAUGCACUCGGCCAAAUUUCUACUGGAUAUUGGACAUGCGCUCACAUUACAAAUGCUUCCAACAGCAUGCUCAGUAUUAAAUUAACAUCUAUGCUGACAAUCUUGCCAAAGAAAUCCAGAAGAGGAUGGACAUUAGUGAUGAACUGCACGUUCACCUUUGGAGUGAAGUCAUUAGCAAGCUUUCGUCAUGUGGCUGGAGCCAACUCUCCCGAAUUUGCAAAGAUCGACAGCUCCAGAGCUCACUGGGCCCCAUCCAACGCUCACAGGCCGUGAUGGAGGCAUUUCCAUGGAGCCGGACAGACGGUGGAUCACGACCCGGACUCAGGAGGCUGGAGAGAUGGGACCGUCCGAUACUGAGGAUUCAAGUGUGAGAUACGGGAGAGGCAGAAGCAGUUCCAAGUUCUGCCAUA
RNAcentral lists this long non-coding RNA (909 nucleotides) under Struthio camelus australis. Its description in RNAcentral is "lncRNA (ENSSCUG00000001764.1)". Lineage: Eukaryota; Metazoa; Chordata; Aves; Struthioniformes; Struthionidae. The record is from RNAcentral.